This 493-nucleotide ribosomal RNA is filed under the name uncultured bacterium. Its description in RNAcentral is "bacterial SSU rRNA". It matches the Rfam family "Bacterial small subunit ribosomal RNA", at positions 21 to 508 of the family's 1533-position model. The record is from RNAcentral.
CCCUUAAAGUGAACGCUGGCGGAAUGCUUUACACAUGCAAGUCGAACGGCAGCACGGGGGCAACCCUGGUGGCGAGUGGCCAACGGGUGAGUAAUACAUCGGAACGUGCCCAGUCGUGGGGGAUAACGUAGCGAAAGUUACGCUAAUACCGCAUACGAUCUACAGAUGAAAGCGGGGGAUCGCAAGACCUCGCGCGAUUGGAGCGGCCGAUGUCAGAUUAGGUUGUUGGUGGGGUAAAGGCCUACCAAGCCGACGAUCUGUAGCUGGUCUGAGAGGACGACCAGCCACACUGGGACUGAGACACGGCCCAGACUCCUACUGUAGGCAGCAGUGGGGAAUUUUGGACAAUGGGCGCAAGCCUGAUCCAGCCAUUCCGCGUGCAGGACGAAGGCCUUCGGGUUGUAAACUGCUUUUGUACGGAACGAAAAAGCCUCGGUUAAUACCCGGGGUCCAUGACGGUACCCGUAAGAAUAAGCACCGGCUAACUACGUGG